AGAAGUACUGAAGACAACUAUAUUUAGUUAUAUUAACAGUAGCAUAUGUACAUUGUGUACUGGAAAAGUGCCAAAAAGAAAGUUUGGUCCCCAAAAGAGUUUGUUCAAAGGUGUCGAGAUUAGACAUGCUUGAAUUUUUUACGCAUGGUUACAUCUACUUGUGAGAAAGUUGAGGCAGUAAACCACCUCUGGAUGGUCGAGGUUGAAAUCUCCGAUUCUUAUUUCAAAUUUGAGCUUCUUUCCAACGAUGUCUUGCAAAGUUUCUUUCAUUGC
Molecule: long non-coding RNA, 273 nt
Filed under: Aquilegia coerulea
Lineage: Eukaryota; Viridiplantae; Streptophyta; Magnoliopsida; Ranunculales; Ranunculaceae
Description: long non-coding RNA (ACOE_LNC000361)
Source: RNAcentral